RNAcentral lists this ribosomal RNA (451 nucleotides) under uncultured bacterium. RNAcentral describes it as "partial 16S ribosomal RNA". It matches the Rfam family "Bacterial small subunit ribosomal RNA", at positions 29 to 523 of the family's 1533-position model. The record is from RNAcentral.
AGCGAACGCUGGCGGCAGGCUUAACACAUGCAAGUCGAGCGGGCAUCUUCGGGUGUCAGCGGCGGACGGGUGAGUAACGCGUGGGAACGUGCCUUCUGGUUCGGAAUAACUCAGGGAAACUUGAGCUAAUACCGGAUACGCCCUUUUGGGGAAAGGUUUACUGCCGGAAGAUCGGCCCGCGUCUGAUUAGCCAGUUGGUGGGGUAACGGCCUACCAAGGCGACGAUCAGUAGCUGGUCUGAGAGGAUGAUCAGCCACACUGGGACUGAGACACGGCCCAGACUCCUACGGGAGGCAGCAGUGGGGAAUAUUGGACAAUGGGGGCGACCCUGAUCCAGCCAUGCCGCGUGAGUGAUGAAGGCCUUAGGGUUGUAAAGCUCUUUUAUCCGGGACGAUAAUGACGGUACCGGAGGAAUAAGCCCCGGCUAACUUCGUGCCAGCCGCCGCAGUAA